UACAGAGGUCUCAAGCGUUGUUCGGAUUCAUUGGGCGUAAAGGGUGCGUAGGUGGCGCGGUAAGUCGGGUGUGAAAUCUCGGAGCUUAACUCCGAAACUGCAUUCGAUACUGCGGUGCUUGAGGACUGGAGAGGAGAGUGGAAUUCCUGGUGUAGCGGUGAAAUGCGCAGAUAUCAGGAAGAACACCCGUGGCGAAGGCGGCUCUCUGGGACGGUACUGACGCUGAGACGCGAAAGCGUGGGGAGCAAACGGG
Molecule: ribosomal RNA, 253 nt
Filed under: uncultured bacterium
Lineage: Bacteria
Description: partial 16S ribosomal RNA
Rfam family: Bacterial small subunit ribosomal RNA
Source: RNAcentral